Long non-coding RNA from Cygnus atratus (black swan), 1097 nucleotides. RefSeq lists it as uncharacterized. The transcript has 4 exons. The record is from RefSeq and is a predicted model, not a curated record. NCBI's taxonomy places the organism in Eukaryota, Metazoa, Chordata, Aves, Anseriformes, Anatidae.
GGACAGACAUGUGGGUGGAGCAUUAAGCAGAGCUACCUCUGCCACUGGGGCACAGAGGAACCCAGGAAGAACUGGCUGCAAACAAAAGCUAUCCAAAUCUUGGAAAAUACACUCAAAUGAGCUAGGCAAUCCCAUGUGAUCUGUGCCCUCAUCUGGAGUUGUGUGCUCUGAUCACUUGCUUCAAAAACUUCCCUAGAGGAGUGGACAACAGACUUUGCCUUUUGAAAAUCAGAAGCUAAAGAAGUCUUUGAUUUAUCCAUUUACUACUCUUUGAUGACUGCAGUUUCUCUCAUUUAGAGAAAGACAUUGUCCUUGGAUUUCAGUCCAGUUCCAGGCGGAUGGCUGUCCUCAUCCCAAAGCCUGCCAUAACAAUUUGCUAAGAAAGCUGAAUCAUUUGCCUUCUACUUUGGGAAGUUGUUCCUGCAGUCAUGAAUAAGGUUCCUGUGUGUAAGCCUGUUAAGAAAAACAAGAAGUCAGCUUAUCCUUCAGAUCCGACAGCAGCCGCUGCACAGCUCUAGGGCUUUUUGCAUGUACCAGGCAGGGUAACAUCUGCUCCGAAGACUGGCUUUGGUUCUGGAGGGAUUCCUGCAGCCCAGGAUCACAAGCCCCUUUGGCAGCCUUCUUGAUGCAGGGGAUGGGAGGUCCUGCGGGGAGGGUUCCUCAAGCCACCGCUGUAGAGCCCCAGGGAACGGGGAGCAUCCACUGCAGGGGUGCGGACACUGAGCUGGGUGCUGCCUGGUUGCAGGGGAGGGACCAGCAGCCCCGGCAUGUUCAGAGCAACCUGUGUCACCAAGGGGGUUAUUAUAAGCAGUGUUUUCCUUUGUUGUUUCCAUUAGAUCAAAACAUAGUUUGUGCCCUCUCUCUUGGACCAAGCAAAACAUUGCAUACACUUGAUUUAUUACAAGGGCAUGCUGCACACAAGUAUCUUUCUUUGUAUUAUGUAUUUAUUUCACAAUAGAGCCCAAUAGAAAAUGCUAUUUACUUUGUCUGUGAUGGGUUUUGUGAGUGCUGUUUGUAAAACAAGUAAACAAAACAAAAAAAAACGUAGUUUUGCUGUUUAUCCCAAGUGCUGCUGAUAGGUUUGCAGUAGACAAAUC